UACGGAGGGGGCUAGCGUUGUUCGGAAUUACUGGGCGUAAAGCGCGCGUAGGCGGCUUUGUAAGUUAGAGGUGAAAGCCUGGAGCUCAACUUCAGAAUUGCCUUUAAGACUGCAUCGCUUGAAUCCGGGAGAGGUGAGUGGAAUUCCGAGUGUAGAGGUGAAAUUCGUAGAUAUUCGGAAGAACACCAGUGGCGAAGGCGGCUCACUGGACCGGCAUUGACGCUGAGGUGCGAAAGCGUGGGGAGCAAACAGG
This 253-nucleotide ribosomal RNA is filed under the name uncultured bacterium. Its description in RNAcentral is "partial 16S ribosomal RNA". It matches the Rfam family "Bacterial small subunit ribosomal RNA", at positions 524 to 776 of the family's 1533-position model. The record is from RNAcentral.